Molecule: ribosomal RNA, 468 nt
Filed under: uncultured bacterium
Lineage: Bacteria
Description: partial 16S ribosomal RNA
Rfam family: Bacterial small subunit ribosomal RNA
Source: RNAcentral
GACGAACGCUGGCGGCGUGCUUAACACAUGCAAGUCGAACGGAAAGGCCCUGCUUUUGUGGGGUGCUCGAGUGGCGAACGGGUGAGUAACACGUGAGUAACCUGCCCUUGACUUUGGGAUAACUUCAGGAAACUGGGGCUAAUACCGGAUAGGAGCUCCUGCUGCAUGGUGGUGGUUGGAAAGUUUCGGCGGUUGGGGAUGGACUCGCGGGUUAGCAGCUGGUUGGUGGGGUAGUGGCUUACCAAGGCUUUGACGGGUAGCCGGCCUGAGAGGGUGACCGGCCACAUUGGGACUGAGAUACGGCCCAGACUCCUACGGGAGGCAGCAGUGGGGAAUAUUGCACAAUGGGCGGAAGCCUGAUGCAGCAACGCCGCGUGCGGGAUGAAGGCCUUCGGGUUGUAAACCGCUUUCGCAUGUGACGAAGCGUGAGUGACGGUAAUGGGUAAAGAAGCACCGGCUAACUACGUG